CUUGAAUUAAAUAAAUCAACCAUCUUCAUGGCCCACAAACAACCUUAACCAAUGAAAUUGAAGAUGGCCCCACAUAUCUUCACUCUCCCACUGCUCUUCGUACGUACAGCUCUUUUUCUUCAUUUUCCAUAGGCGAUUUUGAAGCUUCUAAAACAGGUAUUUAAAGUUCGUUUUUGAUGAUUUUUUUAAGAAAUAUCAUUUAAAUAUAGCAUAUAUCAAGGGUAAUGUUUAAAAUAUAAGAUUUCAUGAAAAAUUUGAGAUUUUAAGGACGAUUUUGAAUACUGUGUUAGUUGAUAUUAGGUUAUUUUAUGUACUUUUCUGAUUAAAUGUUUUAAAAAAUAUCAUUUAAAUGUAGUGUAUAUGAUAGGUAAUGUUAAAAAUGUACUCAUGAAACUAUGUUUAUGGGUUUUAGAUGGAGAUAUAUAUAUAUAUAUUUAAGUCUGUUUUUGAUGAUUUUUAUUUGUUUAAUUCCUUUUAAUCUCAUUAAGAUAGAGUAAAUAUCCGAACAAAUUCGUCUUUAAUAGUUUAUUAGUUAGUGGAAGGACAAUUUCUGGGUAUUACAAAGAUAACUAGUUUUACUAAGAAAAAAUAGAUUUACUGGUAUUACUGAUAUUACUAUGUUUACUAGUUCUACUAGUAUUACGGGUAUUACUUUGUUUGUAGAUUUAAAAGAACUAGUAUUAGCGAGAGAAGACUGUAGGGUGUGAGAAUGAAAUAUUUGCCUUAAUAUUGAUAAUUUUUAUGAUAUUCCAUUUUAUUUCAGGAAAAAUGCAAAAUCCGCAUUGCACAAUCAUUUGUUUUGAUUACGGGGGAUAUUAUAUGAAAGAUGGGGCUGAAAUAAAAUGGAUAUCAGGAGAUGGUGAAGGUGAAGAUGAAAUUCACACGAUUGUGUUGAAAAAAUCAGUGGAGGAGGUGACAUACACUUGUUUGGUUGAGCGUAUUUUCAGAAAGAUCAAGGUAGAUGAAUCUAAGAUGGAAGCGAGGAUUAGUUACUUCCCAAUGGUAUUGAAUUGGAACAAGCCAUCAUAUAUCUGGAAUGAUGAAGACGAAUCCUGACACUGUAACUCGUGUGGUAGUGGAUGAGGCCAACAAAUUUAAGUAUCUGUUUUUUGCCUUGGGAGCUAGCAUAGAAGGGUUCAGCGCGAUGAGGAAAGUCCUCAUUGUGGAUGCAACACACCUCAAGAAUGUUUAUGGUGGAGUUCUAAUUGUUGCGGCUGCUCAGGAUCCUGAUCAUCACACCUACCCAAUUGCUUUCGGUGUAGCAGAUGGUGAAAAAAAUGAUAGCUGGAUGUGGUUUAUGGAACAGUUGAAAUCAGUGAUAGGAGAUGUCCCGGGAUUGGUAUUUCUUUCAGAUAGAAACAAAAGCUUGAUCAAUGCAGUAGGUGCAGUGUUCCCUCAGGCCGCUCAUGGGUAUUGUAUAUGGCAUUUGUCUCAAAAUGUUAAAGGCCACGUCCGUAACCACAGAGACACUUGUGCAUUUAAGUUUAUGGAGUGCGCACACGCUUAUACAGUGGCUGAGUUCUUGAACCUUUAUGAUGCUUUUCGCAGAAGGUAUCCUUCUGCAGCGGAGUAUCUUGACAAAAAUGUUGAAGAGAGGAAAUGGGCUAGAUGUUACUUUGAAGGAGAUAGGUACAAUGUUGACACCACCAAUUCAGUGGAAUCUUUUAAUGGUGUAAUUAAGGAAGCAAGAAAGUUCACCUUGCUACCAAUGUUUGAUGUCAUCAUUGCAAAAAUGGCUGAAUGGUUUAAUAAACAUAGGAAAGAGGCAGCUGAGAUACCACCUACACUAAAGCUUGUGCCUAUUGUGGAAACAGAAAUGUCCAAAAGAUGUCCAAUAAAACAGCAGAAGGAAAAAAAAUAUUUGAACUGUCACUUUUCAUGAUUUACAAAUAUUAAAAUAUAGCAAGAAAUUAAUCAUAAAUCUUACCAUAGACGGUGCACCUUACAGCUCCAGUAUUAACCAUGCCAAUAAGCACAUUGCUGGUUUUGAUCUCAAGAAACAGAAGUUUCUCAACCUCAAGUUGAAAUAGUGAGGAAGGAAUUUAAAAAAAAAAAUACAGUGAGGAAGAGCAAAUGAGAAUACAGAUCUGUUUAGGGAAUUGUUAUGAGGGCUGCAGGCGUUGUAAGCAACACAUUUAUAGUAGUCAGAUGAUGAUAACUGAAACAGUAGAAAAGAGAAUCUGUUGAGAAACUAUUCAUCUUUAGUAGUAGUUAAGAAGAGUAAUAAUAACAAUUCAUGUGGAAGAUGUGGAGUGAAUAUAGACAGUUAGAAAAGCAGUAGAACAGGUUGCAUUCGGAUUCUCUUUGUUUAAGGGAAGUGACUUGUGAGAGAUGUGAAGCACUGAAGAUUGUAUAAAGCUCUCCAGAUUCUACUCCAUGAUCUACUGAGUAUCCGCAUAGCAUGUUUCCCAUGUAUUCUCGAUUUGAUCUUGCAUCAGGGCCUUCAUGUGAUCUUAUAAUCAUCUAAAGACGGUAAAAAUAAACACAUUAAAGUUUAUAUAAUCACAAAUGAAAACAUCAUUAGAAGCUUUACAUUUACCUUUUAAGCUCGAUUGUUUUAGAAAACUCUCAGUGCAAUCAGCUCCCUAAAGAAGUCCCUUAUAAUUACUUUCGCUCAGACCAUCAGCCAUCCACAGACAUGACCAUAAAACAUGGUUAAGAGUUAUAUUCCCAUCAUCAUUCUCACCAACUUGUCUCAUGUCAACCUUGUCAAGUUCUUCUAAUGAACCCAACAAUAAAGUGCUAUCUUCAUGGACCCGAGAGGAGCUUUGAAAGAGGCCUCCAUGAGUUGUGUAGACACUAUCUGAUAGUACAUAUGCCAAAGGUAACGUUUUGAAACAAUCGAUACACCUGGAAUGUAGCACUGGACCGUGUUCACCGUAUCUGUGACAUGUCUCUUUCAAGAAACCAAACUCUUCUGCAGAAACUCUUGUUUCUGAGCUUCCUCUAAGUAAAAAUACCAUCUCAGGCAUCAGAAUUUGUAGUUAUCACCAAACUAAAUUGAACGUGAGAAAUAAAUCACCAAACUAAAUUGAACGUGGGUCCCACAACUUGCUGAAGGCGUGAAACUAUUAUUAGAACGCAUAGAUAAUGAAAAGAACCCUAACUCAUGUUAAACGAAGACAGUUUACAAUAUGGAAAAACUAUAAUUGUUUUUUUUUUCAUAUAACGUGAUGAACCUCAUUUAAAAAUGAAACUCAUAAUACAUUUGUAGGCCCGGCCCACAGAGAAUACCGAAGAAGCAAAGGUUUCCGACCUUCAUAAAUAUAUAUUAGUUUCGGCUAUCAAUGUACAAAGUAUCUUUUAGUUCAGUGGUAUAAAUGUUGUAGUUUAUAUCUCAAUAAUCCGGGUUCGAGCCACAGACUUGAUAUUUUUUCACACUUUUUAAAAGUGAGACCCACCAAAAUGCUGACGUGUCGGCUCAGGAGGAGAGAAACUCUCCUAUUAUAUUAUAGAUUUUUCAAUUUUUAUUAUAUUAUUAUUAUAAAUACUCUCUUAAAACCCCUCAUUGAGGGUGUCUUAAAAAAACAUAAACUUUCAAACAAACAAAAACAUAAAUUAACAUUUUUCUUUCAGAUCAAAGCACUCUACUCUGGCUAGAGACUCCAAAUUCCCAGACAAUCUGAAUCUUUCCUUUCUCUUCGCCAAUUGUGACGGGAACAAAACAGUUCAGAACAAAAGAAAUAUAUAUGGCUAGAAGAAGAAAACCGGAAGUGUGGCUUAAUAAUGAACUAGAUAGGAUAAGCGAAUUGCCUGAUCCUUUGAUCUGUCGAGUACUUUAUCAUCUUCCCACAAAGGAUGCUGUAAGAACGAGUGUUCUGUCCACCAGAUGGAGGACUCUCUGGCUUUGGGUUCCUCGUUUAGGAUUGAAUUAUCGAGUCUUCCAGAAAAAAGAUGCCUUGGUUAAUUUUGGUGACAGGUUUUUCGAUUCCGACAGGGUUUCAAGCAUAGACAAAGUUGAGUUAGAUGUGGAGUCAAAUUAAGGUGUAGAUUCGAAUAAAGGUGUAGAUUAUUACAAUUCUUACGUCACACCAUGGAUUGAUGCAGCAGUUAAGCGAAAGAUCCAACAUCUAGAUGUUCGGACUGAUCCAGAUAGUCCUCAUAUCCCUAAAUUUUGUUACAGGCGGUUUAGGGCUUAUUUUCAUGGGAUGCCCCUAAGCCUUUAUGUCUGCGAGACACUGGUAUCUUUAAAACUCGAUGGCGUCUUCUUGCGUGAUUCAGAGUUUAUUUACUUACCUAGUCUGAGGAUUUUGCACUUAAUAUCUAUGAUGAAUCCCAAAGAGGCCACUUUCGAGAGUCUUAUCUCCUCAUGUCCUGUCUUUUUAUGGGUUACGUCUGAGAUACUCGAAAUAAGGUUUUAAUCGUGUAGUUUGAGAAAUGCAAUUAAUGAUAUGAAUCUCUCAAAUCUCGAAGGGAAUGUUUGUUGGUCGUCUAUUGAUUACAACACGAGGUAUAAUUAAUAACACUGAGACAUAAGUAUCUCCUGGACAUUAGAGAGGGUUUUGUUAAUUAUUGUCCUUGGUCUUGUUUCUUGUCAGCAAAUAUCCAUAUAUUUGUCGAAUGGUUUGGUCAACCAGUUAUGAAUACUAAGUUACAUAGACAAAGUCACGUAUACAAUUCUUUUUUUACAACCUGUUCAGUAAGCCUUUAAAUUAAAGAACGUAGAAUGCAUAUAGGCGUAAAGAAUGCCUAAACCAGACUUAAAAUACAAAUAAAGAUAUUCAGUUAUUUAUUACAUAUUCGGAAGUUUUAAAACGAUUGAUCAACACCGAGUUUAGAGAAUAGAAUGCUUAGUCUUACAAAAUCACUUCAAAAUAGCAUAUUGGUAAAGAAACACAAAACUUUUACUGGUGUACAUAGUACAUACAGAUUGACACAUUUAUAAAAGUUUUAUGAAAUUCAAAAUCAUCUAAGCAAGCGAAAAUAGCAUAUGAAACUAUAAAUACAGAUUAUUCAAGCAAAAAAAGUUUUAUCUUUUAAGAAGCAGAUUUACUGCAAACCAAUAGCAAUAAUAAAGUCUGAAAUACAUAUUAGUAGUAUAAUUUUGUUCUCUGUUAUCUAAAUUGUAAAGGAAUUAAGAGAAAUAAUUGCAAAACUGCAUUAGCAACCGGAAAGAAUAAGUAAGAAAUGGAAAAGGAAAACUUGUUUGGAUUGAACAACUAGUCACUAGACUGAGUGACAAGCUGUUAACAAGCUGUUAGAACUCUCGGUAGACAGAAUAAUUAUAAGAAAUAUGUCCAUCCGUUUUCACUGGACAUGAGUUCAAGAAACUGACCCUCAGCCACAGAAAUUAACCAAUGAAUUCUCUAGCCUUUUGAAGCGGUGGAAUAUCAUGGAUAGUCGGUAAAUUCCUGAAUAUAUUGAUCACAAACUGAACCAAUUCCAUAUCUUCCUGGUUGAAUUCAUCCCUGGAAAGCAUAAAGAUCAUUUUAGGAAAAAGGGUUUUACACCACUUACACCAAGUACCUCAAACACAAUAAGGAGCUAAAUAAAUUUCUAAUAAUAUACUAACAAUUCUAAGUCCUGGAUAGAGGUUUAUAGCAAAACAGAAGUCACUGCAAAUAUGUUACUGAAAGUAAUGAUCUGUUGAGGACCAUCAUAUGAGUCGGAUUCUACAUGCAUUGUGAGAAACACCAACACCUUAACUAACAAUCAGAUGAUUUAAUGGAGUUUGGAAAUAAACUACAUUAUAUGGAGUUUGAAAAUAAAUAUGUCAUUGUUUUUCCAGAAAUAAACUUCUUGUUUUAGAUCCAUGUAAUUGGUUUUUGAAAAUAAACUUCUUGUUUGAGAUCUACGUAAUUGUUUUUUUUGGGAGUGUAGACCUUGAUGAGCAUAUAUAUAUAUUGGAAAAUCCAUGGUCAUUGAAUUCUUCAAAAUUAGAAUACUAGCUCGGGAUUCUUACAAAUGAGAGCUCAUCAUGUUAACCAGGUUAAUGACCAUCAUUGAUGGUCAAGAAACUUAUAAAAUACAUACAUCAAAAUCCAAAUGCAUUCUUUUCCAAAAUGAAAACGAAAUUCAGAAGCAUCAAUUCUUACUUGUUGAGAUUGAAACUCAUAGAGAAAAGAAAAGAAACCGAAUCACCCAAACCAAACAAACCAUUCUAACCGAUCUCGCAAGUCGCAAACCUAGUCAAAAUCAUAAGCUUUAAAUGUAAUAUAUUUUACACUUCGAUUCAGCCACAACAUAACAAUACACUGCUUGAUAAACACUACAAUAAUUGAAUUCUUGAAGGGACAAAGAGAAAGAAUCAACAUUCGUCUACACAUUGGUGCUUUCAGAAUUGCCCAAAUUCUUGAAUUGUUCUUGUGGCCAGUGUAAGAACGUCAAGAAACGCAGAGAAGGAUGCUCGAAGAAGC
Long non-coding RNA from Brassica napus (rape), 6356 nucleotides. RefSeq lists it as uncharacterized. The record is from RefSeq and is a predicted model, not a curated record. The transcript has 2 exons. NCBI's taxonomy places the organism in Eukaryota, Viridiplantae, Streptophyta, Magnoliopsida, Brassicales, Brassicaceae.